Molecule: ribosomal RNA, 440 nt
Filed under: uncultured bacterium
Lineage: Bacteria
Description: partial 16S ribosomal RNA
Rfam family: Bacterial small subunit ribosomal RNA
Source: RNAcentral
CCUACGGGGCGCAGCAGUGGGGGAUAUUGCACAAUGGGGGGAACCCUGAUGCAGCGACGCCGCGUGGGUGAAGAAGCGCCUCGGCGCGUAAAGCCCUGUCAGCAGGGAAGAAAAUGACGGUACCUCAAGAAGAAGCCCCGGCUAACUACGUGCCAGCAGCCGCGGUAAUACGUAGGGGGCAAGCGUUAUCCGGAUUUACUGGGUGUAAAGGGGGCGCAGACGGCGAUGCAAGCCAGGAGUGAAAGCCCGGGGGCCAACCCCGGGACUGCUCUUGGAACUGCGUGGCUGGAGUGCAGGAGGGGAAGGCGGAAUUCCUGGUGUAGCGGUGAAAUGCGUAGAUAUCAGGAGGAACACCGGUGGCGAAGGCGGCCUGCUGGACUGCAACUGACGUUGAGGCCCGAAAGCGUGGGGAGCAAACAGGAGUAGAUACCCUUGUAGUC